This 175-nucleotide non-coding RNA is filed under the name bacterium. RNAcentral's name for it is "6S RNA". It matches the Rfam family "6S / SsrS RNA". From Rfam's summary of the family: E. coli 6S RNA was the first non coding RNA to be sequenced, but its function was unknown until recently. It consists of 184 nucleotides that fold into an extended hairpin structure with a large single-stranded internal bulge. The record is from RNAcentral.
UAUUCCCUGCUGCCCCGGGAAUCGGACACAUAUAAAGAGCCAACACUCUUUUCAUGGGAGCCCGACUCUGAACGCGUAUUACAUGCCUCCGUAGCGUGGACGUAAAAAACGGUCAGGAGAGCACCCACCGUGUCUGACACGGUUCUUUAUUACCGAACCGGGGUGCAGGGUUUUU